This 91-nucleotide transfer RNA is filed under the name Clostridiaceae bacterium. RNAcentral's name for it is "tRNA-Ser". It matches the Rfam family "tRNA". From Rfam's summary of the family: Transfer RNA (tRNA) molecules are approximately 80 nucleotides in length. Their secondary structure includes four short double-helical elements and three loops (D, anti-codon, and T loops). RNAcentral also lists the same sequence under 1 other name. The record is from RNAcentral. Lineage: Bacteria; Bacillati; Bacillota; Clostridia; Eubacteriales; Clostridiaceae.
GGAGAAGUACCCAAGUGGCCGAAGGGGACGGUUUGCUAAACCGUUAGUAGGGGUAACUCUAGCCGGGGUUCGAAUCCCCGCUUCUCCGCCA